RNAcentral lists this ribosomal RNA (253 nucleotides) under uncultured bacterium. RNAcentral describes it as "partial 16S ribosomal RNA". It matches the Rfam family "Bacterial small subunit ribosomal RNA", at positions 524 to 776 of the family's 1533-position model. The record is from RNAcentral.
UAUGAAGGGUGCAAGCGUUACUCGGAAUUACUGGGCGUAAAGCGUGCGUAGGUGGUUUGUUAAGUCUGAUGUGAAAGCCCUGGGCUCAACCUGGGAAUUGCAUUGGAUACUGGCAGGCUAGAGUGCGGUAGAGGAUGGCGGAAUUCCCGGUGUAGCAGUGAAAUGCGUAGAGAUCGGGAGGAACAUCUGUGGCGAAGGCGGCCAUCUGGACCAGCACUGACACUGAGGCACGAAAGCGUGGGGAGCAAACAGG